Molecule: long non-coding RNA, 642 nt
Organism: Ornithorhynchus anatinus (platypus)
Lineage: Eukaryota; Metazoa; Chordata; Mammalia; Monotremata; Ornithorhynchidae
Exons: 2
Source: RefSeq, a predicted model, not a curated record
ACCCUUACUUAUUGGAAAUCAAUCCGUUUCUCCAUAUUCUGUUCUUAUUGUAGCCUCCUGUUUGGCAUACAAGGUCCAUAUUAAUGCAAUUAAAUGGUCUGGCAUGCCUAUUUUCCUUAAGGUGCUCCAGAGUUUCUCAUGAUCCACCUAGUCAAAGGCCUUACUGUAAUAAAGAGCAUGCUGACUUUCUUUUGAUAUUCUCUUGUUCUUUCAGUUUGCCAAUGGACCUCAGCAAUCCGAGCACUGUGCUGAGCACAAAUAUGUUCCACUGUACUCUCCAAAGUGCUUAGGGCAGCCCUCUGCACAAGGACUCCAAAGGCACGGAUGAUGUACGACGGCACCUGGAGAACGGCUAGAGAUUAAUUUUUGGAGCCCUGUAAUAUACCCUUCUGAGGCUUAACUGAAUUCUGGAGCAAACUUAGUAGCCCUAAUUAUCCGCAGUUGCAAGUGAUUAAAAAACACAAAUCACCGGGAGCCGAAAUCGAUGGAGGCAAUGAAAAGCAGCCUCUACAUCUCUGACUAUUUAAGUUGCUAAAUUCUCCAUUUGUUUCUUUGAUGCGGCAGCUCGAUGCAUUGUGUUCCUGAGACACUUCCUCAUAACAAGAAACAUAUGAGACAAAUUAAAUAUUGAUGUUCACCGUG